ACAUGUGAUUCAGCUCUCUAUUGUGAGUCUCGACUAGAUGGUAGGUCAUGGAUAAGUUAUCAAACCUCAUCAUCAGUCAUAUGAUAGAUUCGAUCAGCUCAAGUCCAAUUAUGUUCUUUAUGAAAAUUUUUUUUCAUCAAUCACACUACUGUGGUCAUAGACUCUCGGACUUAGCCUCUCAAAUCUCAUAGGAUGACUACUCUCUAUCAAGAUCGAUAGAUUCUAUCUUGAUGCAUACUAUACUCCUACAGUGGAUCAACUGUCGCCAACAUCCACUACAAGGGCUCAUUG
RNAcentral lists this long non-coding RNA (291 nucleotides) under Elaeis guineensis (African oil palm). RNAcentral's name for it is "long non-coding RNA (EGUI_LNC016659)". Lineage: Eukaryota; Viridiplantae; Streptophyta; Magnoliopsida; Arecales; Arecaceae. The record is from RNAcentral.